ACGUAGGAGGCAAGCGUUAUCCGGAUUUACUGGGCGUAAAAGGCGCGUAGGUGGUUGGGAAGGUCUGUUGUGAAAGCGCUCGGCUUAACUGAGCGAGGCCACUGGAAACCGCCCAACUGGAGUCGCGCAGAGGGCACUGGAAUUCCCGGUGUAGUGGUGGAAUGCGUAGAGAUCGGGAGGAACACCAGAGGCGCAAGCG
Molecule: ribosomal RNA, 199 nt
Filed under: uncultured prokaryote
Description: partial 16S ribosomal RNA
Rfam family: Bacterial small subunit ribosomal RNA
Source: RNAcentral